GGGGGUAUAGCUCUGCUGGUAGAGUGCUUGCCUUUCAUGCACAAGGCCCUGGGUUCAAUCCCCAGCAUCACAA
Molecule: transfer RNA, 73 nt
Filed under: Ictidomys tridecemlineatus (thirteen-lined ground squirrel)
Lineage: Eukaryota; Metazoa; Chordata; Mammalia; Rodentia; Sciuridae
Description: Spermophilus tridecemlineatus (thirteen-lined ground squirrel) tRNA
Rfam family: tRNA
About the family: Transfer RNA (tRNA) molecules are approximately 80 nucleotides in length. Their secondary structure includes four short double-helical elements and three loops (D, anti-codon, and T loops).
Source: Rfam by way of RNAcentral